UAUAACAAUAGCUACAUACAUACAUGAUGCAAAAUGGAUCCAAUGAAGUACCAAAAAUUGAUUGGAUUAUAAAACAAAGCAUUACUGCAAAUGAUUUGGUUUUGUCCAAAGAAGUUAAAAAAAAAAUAAAAAAUUCAUGAUGAUAAAGGGAAGUUGUCAAAUCUCAAAAUACAAAAACAAAAAAAAAAGGAAGAAGAAAUGUGAUUAGUGAAACCUUCUAAGGCAAGAAUAUGGGGUAGUGGAACGGACGGUGACGAAAGAGAUCCAGC
Molecule: long non-coding RNA, 269 nt
Filed under: Capsella rubella
Lineage: Eukaryota; Viridiplantae; Streptophyta; Magnoliopsida; Brassicales; Brassicaceae
Description: long non-coding RNA (CRUB_LNC003521)
Source: RNAcentral